UACCAGCACCCCGAGUGGUCGGGACGUUUAUUGGGCCUAAAGCAUCCGUAGCCGGUUCUACAAGUCUUCCGUUAAAUCCAACUGCUUAACAGAUGGGCUGCGGAAGAUACUAUAGGGCUAGGAGGCGGGAGAGGCAAGCGGUACUCAGUGGGUAGGGGUAAAAUCCUCUGAUCCAUUGAAGACCACCAGUGGCGAAGGCGGCUUGCCAGAACGCGCUCGACGGUGAGGGAUGAAAGCUGGGGGAGCAAACCGG
Molecule: ribosomal RNA, 253 nt
Filed under: uncultured bacterium
Lineage: Bacteria
Description: partial 16S ribosomal RNA
Rfam family: Archaeal small subunit ribosomal RNA
Source: RNAcentral